Long non-coding RNA from Coregonus clupeaformis (lake whitefish), 180 nucleotides. RefSeq lists it as uncharacterized. The record is from RefSeq and is a predicted model, not a curated record. The transcript has 4 exons. Lineage: Eukaryota; Metazoa; Chordata; Actinopteri; Salmoniformes; Salmonidae.
UGUAUAAAACUCCCACUGUCUCUCACAACAAUAGUCAUUCUCCUGGGCUCCUCUGUCUGUCUGUGUAUCUGUCUGUCACACCAUUGAAACCUCACCUUGCUCUCGUGCAGCCAUGUCUGAUGUAGAGGAGGAAUACGAGGAGGGGCAGGCGGAAGAGGAGGCAGAGGAGGAGCAGGAGGC